CCUACGGGAGGCAGCAGUGGGGAAUAUUGGACAAUGGGGGCAACCCUGAUCCAGCCAUGCCGCGUGUGUGAAGAAGGCCCUCGGGUUGUAAAGCACUUUCAGUGAGGAAGAACGCCUGGUGGUUAAUACCCAUCAGGAAAGACAUCACUCACAGAAGAAGCACCGGCUAACUCCGUGCCAGCAGCCGCGGUAAUACGGAGGGUGCGGGCGUUAAUCGGAAUUACUGGGCGUAAAGCGCGCGUAGGUGGCUUGAUAAGCCGGUUGUGAAAGCCCCGGGCUCAACCUGGGAACGGCAUCCGGAACUGUCAAGCUAGAGUGCAGGAGAGGAAGGUAGAAUUCCCGGUGUAGCGGUGAAAUGCGUAGAGAUCGGGAGGAAUACCAGUGGCGAAGGCGGCCUUCUGGACUGACACUGACACUGAGGUGCGAAAGCGUGGGUAGCAAACAGGAUUAGAUACCCUAGUAGUC
Molecule: ribosomal RNA, 465 nt
Filed under: Vreelandella stevensii
Lineage: Bacteria; Pseudomonadati; Pseudomonadota; Gammaproteobacteria; Oceanospirillales; Halomonadaceae
Description: partial 16S ribosomal RNA
Rfam family: Bacterial small subunit ribosomal RNA
Source: RNAcentral